RNAcentral lists this long non-coding RNA (1209 nucleotides) under Pogona vitticeps (central bearded dragon). Its description in RNAcentral is "lncRNA (ENSPVIG00000023420.1)". The record is from RNAcentral. Lineage: Eukaryota; Metazoa; Chordata; Lepidosauria; Squamata; Agamidae.
AUGCUGCGGAUCUGUCCAGCGGUGGUAGAAGAGGUUGUGGAUCAGGGCCGGAAAUCUCGGCACCCCAUCGUUCCUGCCCAUCCAUUCUUACGCAUCCCACUGACAGCUGCCAUGAUGUGCAUGUGUGUGUGGAAGAGGUUGUGUUCUCUCUCCCCAUGGAUGUCAGAACCUCCCCCCCCCCAUUAUUAUUUUAUAUUUCACUCGGGUCUAAAUAAGAGCUGCUUCUGUUUUCAUUUUGCUUUAUGCUGUUUUUUUCUUAUGCAACUAAGGAAUGCCGGCACAUUGUUUAUUUUAUUCCACAAGGGCCUUUUAAGCCCAGCCAUGGCAGCCACUGAGUCUGGGGGCUGGGGGGGAGGGAGAUCCAGAGAGAAUGAGAGAAAAGCUUUUUGCUUUCUUCUGCAAUGCAUUGGCACACCGCUUGCCAUAGGUUUCUUUUUCAGAUUGUCUGCCCCUGUGUCUUGGAAGGAAGGAAAGAAGGAGCUGGUGAUGGAUGGAUGGAUGGAUGGAAGGAAGGAAGGAAGGAAGGAAGGAAGGAAGGAAGGAAGGAAGGAAGGAAGGAAGGAAGGAAGGAAGGAAGGAAGGAAGGAAGGAAGGAAGGAAGGAAGGAAGGAAGGAAGGAAGGAAGGAAGGAAGGAAGGAAGGAAGGAAGGAAGGAAGGAAGGAAGGAAGGAAGGAAGGAAGGAAGGAAGGAAGGAAGGAAGGAAGGAAGGAAGGAAGGAAGGAAGGAAGGAAGGAAGGAAGGAAGGAAGGAAGGAAGGAAGGAAGGAAGGAAGGAAGGAAGGAAGGAAGGAAGGAAGGAAGGAAGGAAGGAAGGAAGGAAGGAAGGAAGGAAGGAAGGAAGGAAGGAAGGAAGGAAGGAAGGAAGGAAGGGGAUGGAUGGAUGGAUGGAUGGAUGGAAGACAAGCAUUGUUGUCUUUGCCCCAGAUGUGCCUGCCCAUGUUCAGAUUCCCAGCCUUGGUCUUUAUGAAAUAUGACCCAAGAAGACAAGGAAAGGGGGACAGCAAAAACAGGCAGGCUGUUACGUACCUGGGCUGGAAAUGGAUCAUACCUGUCUCCCACCCAGUCAGAACAAACACCAUCCACCCUUCAACAUUGCACAGUAACCCUAGACAUGCCUCCUUGGAAGUCAGUCCCGUAGGGUUCAAGGAUGAAUUUGUAGGUAAAGUGGAUGUUAGGAUUGCAUCUGGAAAGACUAUGAGAGGCAUGUGA